Triticum aestivum (bread wheat) is the source of this 1553-nucleotide long non-coding RNA. RefSeq lists it as uncharacterized. The record is from RefSeq and is a predicted model, not a curated record. Lineage: Eukaryota; Viridiplantae; Streptophyta; Magnoliopsida; Poales; Poaceae. The transcript is spliced from 3 exons.
CUCCGCCCUCCUUCCCCCCGCCCCGACCCAAAAGCCUAGCUAGCCCCUGCCUCUCCCCCGUCGUGGCCGAGCGAGACUCUCCGGCCCAAUGGCGUCGGCGGACAUGUUCCCCAACGUCUCCUCCUCCGACGUCAAGCCGCCGCCUCGCAGGAGGCCCCCGGCAAGGCCGUGUUCGGCCUGGACCCCGCCUCUCCGGGGCGGCGUGCCUCGUCAGCCCCGGGGCGGAGCAGGCCUUCGAGACCGACCUCUCCGACGCGCAGAUAUGCAGAUAUUCAAGCUGGGGCGGACGGAGUGUAUGUGCGUGAGCAGCGAGACGGCGGCUAUGGCUGGCGCGGAAGAGGUAGUACUCUUCAGUUGGAUGUACCCCAGUUCGGUUUUACUUAGUUUUGUGCUCCUGUUUGGAUGUACCCCAGUUGAAAAUGUGUGGUGCUCGCUUUGCCUAAUUUUCUGUUUAAGGAUUAUAGUUUUUGCCGGGCAGAUGCUAUGUAGAGAAUCAGUUAAUUUCCUCUAGAAAUGCUCAAAUGGUGAUUUGGCGAAAUUUGGAAACACCAGUUCUGCAUCAUGGCAUGGAUAGGGUAGAUUGCAUUGCAUUUUCAAUUUAGGGGCAUACUAUUUUUUGGCACGUUUUAUACUAGUGACUCGAUCAUUGAUCAAUAGUUAGAUGAAAUUGUAGGAUGAUCCAGGGAUGACUCUUCUAAAUGUGUUAUAAUGUAGCUUCACAUUUGUAUAAAAAAAGCAAGCACUCUCGAAACCUUUUUCUGUUUGCCAAGGAUUGUGGUGCUAGCUAUUCUGGAAUAGAGCCUAAUAAAAACUCUGAAUACUUUGUCUUGAUUUGGUGUAAAGAUCGACCCCUGCCGUGUAACUCUGGCUAGUGCUUUGUUUCAUAAGGCUGUGCCUUGUGUGACUGCAUGGUUGGAACUUGGAAAAAUGUUUUGGACCUUGUAUACAGAGUGAUGUGUCGGCAAUGUUGUGAAUCCGUGUUGACAAUACCAACAAUUUAUCAGCAAAUAAAGAACAGGUCACACUGUAUAGGCAGUCAGUUUGACAACAUCUGUAUUCCAGAGUUCACAAGCAGUUUGGCUCCGCCUGAAAUGUUGUAAGACAACGAGCUUGCAUGUAUUGUUCUUUAAAAUCAUUUAAAAGUUACUCGCUGCUGCUUGACUUCUUGAACAUUUUCUAGGAUUCAUGACUCCAUUUUCGGAUGAAUAACUUCAUGUUGAAAUGGCAAACGAGAUAACUUGUACAAUGUAUUUGUCAAUGUACUGAGACGAUGAGGUGGAUCAUUGCAAGACGGUGAAGGCCUGUCAAACGCAUGAAACACUCUGUUCUCCUCACUCCGUGCAGAGCCGCAUGGAAGCUGAUCCAGAACGAUCGUGUCGAGAAGUUGCAAAUGAUGAUCGACCGGCUGUACCUCCGUGCUAGAGCAUUGUAGAAUAGCAUGCUAAAUUUUGGUGAUAUAUUGUAUUCCAUCUUGGUUUCAUUUCCUUCUCUCUGUACGUAGACAUUGAUUAGCACAGACUUCUGCUGAUAUAUUGCAUUCCAUCUUUGUUUCA